CCAAGUUUGACCUCAAAUCAGGUAGGAAUACCCGCUGAACUUAAGCAUAUCAAUAAGCGGAGGAAAAGAAACCAACCGGGAUUGCCUUAGUAACGGCGAGUGAAGCGGCAAAAGCUCAAAUUUGAAAUCUGGCGUCUUCGACGUCCGAGUUGUAAUUUGAAGAAGGCAACUUUGUAGCUGGUCCUUGUCUAUGUUCCUUGGAACAGGACGUCAUAGAGGGUGAGAAUCCCGUGUGGCGAGGAUCCCAGUUAUUUGUAAAGUGCUUUCGACGAGUCGAGUUGUUUGGGAAUGCAGCUCUAAGUGGGUGGUAAAUUCCAUCUAAAGCUAAAUAUUGGCGAGAGACCGAUAGCGAACAAGUACAGUGAUGGAAAGAUGAAAAGAACUUUGAAAAGAGAGUGAAAAAGUACGUGAAAUUGUUGAAAGGGAAGGGCAUUUGAUCAGACAUGGCGUUUGCUUCGGCUUUCGCUGGGCCAGCAUCAGUUUUAGCGGUUGGAUAAAUCCUCGGGAAUGUGGCUCUGCUUCGGUAGAGUGUUAUAGCCCGUGGGAAUACAGCCAGCUGGGACUGAGGAUUGCGACUUUUGUCAAGGAUGCUGGCGUAAUGGUUAAAUGCCGUGGG
This 616-nucleotide ribosomal RNA is filed under the name Kluyveromyces lactis. RNAcentral's name for it is "LSU rRNA". It matches the Rfam family "Eukaryotic large subunit ribosomal RNA", at positions 1 to 628 of the family's 3401-position model. Lineage: Eukaryota; Fungi; Ascomycota; Saccharomycetes; Saccharomycetales; Saccharomycetaceae. The record is from RNAcentral.